AUCAGUAGCCGGCCUGAGAGGGUGGACGGCCACACUGGAACUGAGAAACGGUCCAGACUCCUACGGGAGGCAGCAGUUGGGAAUAUUGCACAAUGGGGGAAACCCUGAUGCAGCAAUGCCGCGUGAAGGAAGAAGGGUCUAGGCUCGUAAACUUCUAUCAGCAGAGAAAAAAAUGACGGUACCCAAGUAAGAAGCCCCGGCUAACUAUGUGCCAGCAGCCGCGGUAAUACAUAGGGGGCAAGCGUUAUCCGGAAUUACUGGGUGUAAAGGGUGCGUAGGCGGUCACAUAAGUCAGAUGUGAAAACCCACUGCUUAACGGUGGGAAUGCAUUUGAAACUAUAAGACUAGAGUACAGGAGAGGUAAGUGGAAUUCCUAGUGUAGCAGUGAAAUGCGUAGAUAUUAGGAGGAACACCAGUGGCGAAGGCGACUUACUGGACUGAAACUGACGCUGAGGCACGAAAGCGUGGGGAGCAAACAGGAUUAGAUACCCUGGUAGUCCACGCUGUAAACGAUGAAUGCUAGGUGUAGGGGGUAUCGACCCCUUCUGUGCCGCAGUUAACGCAAUAAGCACUCCGCCUGGGGAGUACGGUCGCAAGACUGAAACUCAAAGGAAUUGACGGGGGCCCGCACAAGCGGUGGAGUAUGUGGUUUAAUUCGACGCAACGCGAAGAACCUUACCAAGGCUUGACAUCCUGUGACAGCCAUAGAAAUAUGGACUCUUCUUAGUUUACUAAGACACAGAGACAGGUGGUGCAUGGUUGUCGUCAGCUCGUGUCGUGAGAUGUUGGGUUAAGUCCCGCAACGAGCGCAACCCCUACAGCCAGUUGCCAGCACAUAAAGGUGGGAACUCUGGCAGAACUGCCGUUGACAAAACGGAGGAAGGUGGGGAUGACGUCAAAUCAUCAUGCCCCUUAUGUCUUGGGCUACACACGUACUACAAUGGCCUGAACAGAGGGAAGCAAAACUGCGAGGUGGAGCUAAUCCCAAAAAGCCGGUCUCAGUUCGGAUCGUGGGCUGCACCUCGCCUACAUGAAGUCGGAAUCGCUAGUAAUCGCAGGUCAGCAUACUGCGGUGAAUACGUUCCCGGGCCUUGUACACACCGCCCGUCA
RNAcentral lists this ribosomal RNA (1110 nucleotides) under uncultured bacterium. RNAcentral describes it as "bacterial SSU rRNA". It matches the Rfam family "Bacterial small subunit ribosomal RNA", at positions 279 to 1399 of the family's 1533-position model. The record is from RNAcentral.